This is a long non-coding RNA of Eleginops maclovinus (Patagonian blennie), 1284 nucleotides long. RefSeq lists it as uncharacterized. Lineage: Eukaryota; Metazoa; Chordata; Actinopteri; Perciformes; Eleginopidae. The transcript has 3 exons. The record is from RefSeq and is a predicted model, not a curated record.
GGGAGAGAACAAACAGGACAGGAGGAAGCACUGGUGGACGUUAGGGUGAGAAUGGAGCAUUUGGAAGCUGAACAUCAAACCAGAGGUUACCCUGCUGACCGCCGAAGCUGCUUCAAAUGUGCGGUUGUUUUGGCAACAGUGACGGGAUUGGUCACUUUCGUUCUGGUGGGGGGCUUUUUACUGCAUUUAUUCCUGUCAGACAGCCAGGAAGCCCAACCAUGUAGUGAUGCUGCAAAAUUGAAUGUAAACCCUAAACUAGGAAACAGACAAGGAAGCUAUGACUUCUUCAAGGUUGAAAAACCUGCAACCUACCUAAUCUACGUAUGGCUGAAGUUCUCAACAGACACAAAAGAAGAGGUCACUCUCAUACACAAGUUUGGCAACGAUGACAGAACCCUGAAGAAGACGAGUGCCAGCAAUAGAGAGAUCUUCUUUUUAGAAAGGGUCAAACUGGUUGAUGGCAGUUUGAGCUUUAACAUCAAGUCUAACUACACUGACAGCUCGAUCUUUGUCUAUAAGCUCUGACCAAGAUGAAAUCAGACUUCCACAUGUGAGCGAUAAAAACUGCUGUCAGGGCUUCCUGUUUACAUACGGCAUAACCUUGUAUUACAUUUCUUAAAGCUCAAGAUGUUGUGCAAUUUCUCUGGAUCUAUGUUUGCACUUAUCAGGAGUUAGUUUCAUGAAAGGGGAAGUUGUUCUACACAGCUAUGUUUGCUGUGGAGAGAGUGGGUGUCUUUGCCCUGAUUUCUCAAGAAUCACAAGUUUGGGAUGUGAUUUUUGGAUCAAGGAGUGCUGACUGAGAAACUACUCUGUUGUAGCAGAAAAAUGUUAACGAUUGAAAGCAGAAAGUUCCAUACGUUGAAGUUGUUCAUUGAAUUUGAAAUACAUAAAUAUGUUGAGAAGAAAUUCUAAAUUGAAAGAUGUCUCAGAACUGUAAUGUUCACUCAUAAUGUGCUCUACUGUUUUAAAGUGUCUUGUUAGUCUCUCUGAUUGAUUUCUGUCACCUGGAAGGAUGACCGACCAGGCACAUGUUUCAUUUCUAAUUCACCGUUUGUCAUAUUAAAGCUUGUAAAAUUGACACCGGAGAAGGCUUUAAUACACAUAUAUCUGUGCAAUUUGCUUACUGUGAAUAUUGCUUGCAUUGUAUUACAUUUGAUUCUGUUGUGAGUUUACUGGCAGUUAGAUGUAAACAUACUGUAUUGGCAUGCCAUAUUGCUAUUCGUCCAGAAUUGUAUGCUAUCCAAAUAGCAGUAGCAGUAACAGUUUACUAUAAUCAAUGUGUGA